RNAcentral lists this ribosomal RNA (253 nucleotides) under uncultured bacterium. Its description in RNAcentral is "partial 16S ribosomal RNA". It matches the Rfam family "Bacterial small subunit ribosomal RNA", at positions 524 to 776 of the family's 1533-position model. The record is from RNAcentral.
UACAGAGGUCCCAAGCGUUGUUCGGAUUCACUGGGCGUAAAGGGUGCGUAGGUGGUGAGGUAAGUCGGAUGUGAAAUCUCCGAGCUCAACUCGGAAACUGCAUUGGAAACUACCUUGCUCGAGGGUUGGAGGGGGGACUGGAAUGCUUGGUGUAGCAGUGAAAUGCGUAGAUAUCAAGCGGAACACCAGUGGCGAAGGCGAGUCCCUGGACAACUCCUGGCACUGAUGCACGAAAGCUAGGGGAGCAAACAGG